This 1149-nucleotide long non-coding RNA is filed under the name Homo sapiens (human). Its description in RNAcentral is "non-protein coding lnc-GPR161-1:1". Lineage: Eukaryota; Metazoa; Chordata; Mammalia; Primates; Hominidae. The record is from RNAcentral.
AAAUGCCCUUGGUUGCUGAGGACAGCUCUGUCCUGUAGUGACAGAGUGACUGCCUGGCUGUGGCUCUUGGGUUCACAGAAUCCCUAAUCCUCCAAGCCCCUAAGAGGCAGGGCAGGGAUGCUACCCACAAUAUAUGCAGAACCCCAGAUGGAGCCUGUGGGAGAGAGAGGAAAUUACCGUCUUCACUGUAGGCAAAGGAGAAUGGCUGUGAUUAGCCAUAUAUGCCUAUAAGAAGGAGCAGAGCCAUACUGUCCUUGUGGGUUGGGAGAGGGGACACAGAAUCCAGGGCAAUUGUCUGAGGUCUCAAAGUAAGUUAAGCCAGAGUCAAAGCCAAACUCCAAGUCUUGGCCAAGGGGAUGAGAAAAGCAAGGAGCUAGUCUUAUAGGUCAAGGAAGAUGAGGUAUAGUUAAGAGUCAUCAGUAUCACAGAACAGGCCAGCAGGGCUUUAUUAGGUAUGUAGAACUAUUAUAAACCAAGGAUCUUGGGAGAUAUUAAUAUCUGCUGGCCAGACCUAAAAAAAACUGAAGGCCCAAGGAAAGUGACUGGACUCACUGGAAAGUAUCUAACAAAUACUUUGGAUUCCAAAGUAUUUCCAAUACCUUGAAGAUUCCUUUGAAAACAUCAAAGCACAAACUCAAAUCUGCACAAGAUUACAAAAGCACAAUUUUGGUGUUAUUUUUAGAAUGCAAUACACAAAGCUAUGUUCAUUUCUCUCAGCAAGCAUUUUCCUGGGUAGUAGUAAUAGCUUAGGAAUCAAAUGCCACUUUUGUUUUUCCUUUUUUCACUAGUUUGAAAUACCACAAAUCACAGGUGAGUCAGUCCUCCCAGAGGAAAAGACAGUCCUAGGGAGAAUCACAGGCCUGGCAGACAAGACCACACUGAGAGCAGUAGAAGGAACCUGCAUGCUUAAGGGACAGAGGACUGUGUUGUGUUCUCAUAAUAGACCGCUGGAUGAAGAAGUGGUUAAAAACCAACCCUCGAAAAACAAAAAUCCCUGGCUAAUCCUGAAAUAUAUUUAACUUGAAGUCUUUGGAUGAUUUUUUUAAGGUUAAAAAAAAGUUUAGGAUUAUUAUAAAUCAAUAUUUAUAAAUAAGCAACAAUGUAUUUGGAAUUUUUGUUUACCUGAUUAAAUAUGUUUUUGGUAUGUGU